CUCAAAGGAAUUGACGGGGGCCCGCACAAGCGGUGGAGCAUGUGGUUUAAUUCGAUGCAACGCGAAGAACCUUACCUACUCUUGACAUCCAGAGAACUUAGCAGAGAUGCUUUGGUGCCUUCGGGAACUCUGAGACAGGUGCUGCAUGGCUGUCGUCAGCUCGUGUUGUGAAAUGUUGGGUUAAGUCCCGCAACGAGCGCAACCCUUAUCCUUUGUUGCCAGCGAUUCGGUCGGGAACUCAAAGGAGACUGCCAGUGAUAAACUGGAGGAAGGUGGGGAUGACGUCAAGUCAUCAUGGCCCUUACGAGUAGGGCUACACACGUGCUACAAUGGCAUAUACAAAGAGAAGCGACCUCGCGAGGGCAAGCGGACCUCAUAAAGUAUGUCGUAGUCCGGAUUGGAGUCUGCAACUCGACUCCAUGAAGUCGGAAUCGCUAGUAAUCGUAGAUCAGAAUGCUACGGUGAAUACGUUCCCGGGCCUUGUACACACCGCCCGUCACACCAUGGGAGUGGGUUGCAAAAGAAGUAGGUAGCUUAACCUUCGGGAGGGCGCUUACCACUUUGUGAUUCAUGACUGGGGUGAAGUCGUAACAAGGUAAC
RNAcentral lists this ribosomal RNA (600 nucleotides) under uncultured bacterium. Its description in RNAcentral is "bacterial SSU rRNA". It matches the Rfam family "Bacterial small subunit ribosomal RNA", at positions 900 to 1500 of the family's 1533-position model. The record is from RNAcentral.